GGCUCAGAACGAACGCUGGCGGCGUGCUUAACACAUGCAAGUCGAACGAACCUUCGGGUUAGUGGCGGACGGGUGAGUAACGCGUGAGAAUCUGCCCUCAGGAGGGGGAUAACGGUUGGAAACGACCGCUAAUACCCCAUAUGCCGAGAGGUGAAAAGAAAUUCGCCUGAGGAUGAGCUCGCGUCUGAUUAGCUAGUUGGUGUGGUAAUGGCGCAGCAAGGCUUCGAUCAGUAGCUGGUCUGAGAGGAUGAUCAGCCACAUCUGGGUCUGAGACACGGACCAGACUCCUACGGGAG
This 296-nucleotide ribosomal RNA is filed under the name uncultured bacterium. RNAcentral describes it as "partial 16S ribosomal RNA". It matches the Rfam family "Bacterial small subunit ribosomal RNA", at positions 21 to 347 of the family's 1533-position model. The record is from RNAcentral.